GUCAACCGCCAUGCUACCCUGUACAAGCCUCAUCCCAUCUGAUCUCAGAAGCUAAGCAGGGUCGGGCCUGUUUAGUACUUGGAUGGGAGACCACCUAGGAAGACCAGGUGCUGAAA
Molecule: ribosomal RNA, 116 nt
Filed under: Pteropus alecto (black flying fox)
Lineage: Eukaryota; Metazoa; Chordata; Mammalia; Chiroptera; Pteropodidae
Source: RNAcentral